UGGGGAAUAUUGGACAAUGGGGGAAACCCUGAUCCAGCAAUGCCGCGUGAGUGAAGAAGGCCUUAGGGUUGUAAAGCUCUUUUGGCAGGGAAGAUAAUAACGGUACCCGCAGAAUAAGCUCCGGCUAACUUCGUGCCAGCAGCCGCGGUAAUACGAAGGGAGCUAGCGUUGUUCGGAAUCACUGGGCGUAAAGCGCACGUAGGCGGACUUUCAAGUCAGGGGUGAAAUCCCGGGGCUCAACCUCGGAACUGCCUUUGAUACUGUUGGUCUCGAGUCCGGAAGAGGUGAGUGGAAUUCCUAGUGUAGAGGUGAAAUUCGUAGAUAUUAGGAAGAACACCAGUGCCGAAGGCGGCUCACUGGUCCGGUACUGACGCUGAGGUGCGAAAGCGUGGGGAUCAAACA
RNAcentral lists this ribosomal RNA (402 nucleotides) under uncultured bacterium. RNAcentral's name for it is "bacterial SSU rRNA". It matches the Rfam family "Bacterial small subunit ribosomal RNA", at positions 355 to 774 of the family's 1533-position model. The record is from RNAcentral.